This 353-nucleotide ribosomal RNA is filed under the name Neoscopelus microchir. RNAcentral's name for it is "partial 12S ribosomal RNA". It matches the Rfam family "Bacterial small subunit ribosomal RNA", at positions 801 to 1360 of the family's 1533-position model. The record is from RNAcentral. Lineage: Eukaryota; Metazoa; Chordata; Actinopteri; Myctophiformes; Neoscopelidae.
AAACAUUGAUAAUAUCCUACAAUUAUUAUCCGCCCGGGUACUACGAGCAUCAGCUUAAAACCCAAAGGACUUGGCGGUGCUUUAGAUCCACCUAGAGGAGCCUGUUCUAGAACCGAUAACCCCCGUUCAACCUCACCCUUCCUUGUUUUUCCCGCCUAUAUACCACCGUCGUCAGCUUACCCUGUGAAGGCCUAAUAGUAAGCAAAAUUGGCACAGCCCAAAACGUCAGGUCGAGGUGUAGCGUAUGGAAGGGGAAGAAAUGGGCUACAUUCCCUAACCCAGUGCAUACGGACGACACACUGAAACAUGUAUCUGAAGGAGGAUUUAGCAGUAAGCAGAAAAUAGAGCGUUCU